GAGGUUCAGCUCCAGCAGUCUGGGACUGUGCUGGCAAGGCCUGGGGCUUCAGUGAAGAUGUCCUGCAAGACUUCUGGCUACACAUUUACCAGCUACUGGAUGCACUGGGUAAAACAGAGGCCUGGACAGGGUCUGGAAUGGAUAGGGGCUAUUUAUCCUGGAAAUAGUGAUACUAGCUACAACCAGAAGUUCAAGGGCAAGGCCAAACUGACUGCAGUCACAUCCGCCAGCACUGCCUACAUGGAGCUCAGCAGCCUGACAAAUGAGGACUCUGCGGUCUAUUACUGUACAAGA
Molecule: non-coding RNA, 294 nt
Organism: Mus musculus (house mouse)
Lineage: Eukaryota; Metazoa; Chordata; Mammalia; Rodentia; Muridae
Source: the annotation of a RefSeq genome assembly